This is a long non-coding RNA of Amblyraja radiata (thorny skate), 1187 nucleotides long. RefSeq lists it as uncharacterized. Lineage: Eukaryota; Metazoa; Chordata; Chondrichthyes; Rajiformes; Rajidae. The transcript is spliced from 4 exons. The record is from RefSeq and is a predicted model, not a curated record.
AUGACAACACUAGAAGGUCAAAAUUCCCAGCAGAUUGUCCAAGUAUUCCAAAGUUGCUUAGGCAGAAGAGACAUGAUGGGUCUUCCUCGAAUAAUUCAGCCUCAUUGGGAAAAAAAGUACAUUUACAACAACUAUUAAGCAGAAAAUGGUACCUUCAAUCCGGCACCGUGCAGGAUUAAAUGAACAGCGGUACAUUGUCCAAAAAAGGUCUACAGCAACCUGCGACAUGGUCGGGGUGGCACAGUUUGCGAGCAGUAGAGUUACUGCCUUAUAGCACCAGAGACUCGGGUUCGAUCCUGACUAUGGGUGCUGAAUGUACAGAGCUUGUACGUUCUCCCCGUGACCUGCGUGGGUUUUCUCCGGGUACUCCGGUUUCCUCCCACACUCCAAAGACGUACAGUUUACAGGAGCGUCUGAAGCUGAGGCAUUACUUCUGGUGGAUAGAAUAGUCAUGUCACUAUGGAACUCAACAUUUGCUGACCAAUAUUCGGUCAGGUACAGCACACCAAGAAGUCAGUUAAACAUUCUCUAAUUUGAGAGAGGAAGGAGUAGAGACUUCCUUUAUUUUCUUUUUUAUAAACCAUAUAAAUAAUAAGCACAAAUAUAAAGAAUGUAGCUAGAAUUUGCACACAAAAUAAACAACUGUAUGAAAUCCUCCCAGAUAACCUCUGAAAAGUUCAUCUUAAUGGACCGCCAUGAUAUUUCAAUAAUCAAUACCCUUGCUUCCUCUCUGUGCAAGCCUGGUAACUUAAUCCCUCUUAUCAUUAAAUCAUGCCCAUUUUGGCUCGUAUGCUUUCACUCAUAAAAACCGCACUUUUCCAGUGUUCAUUUUGCUUCGGCCUCUUAAGAUGCCAGAGUACAUCUUUAGCUUACUGUUGUUUCAGACUGUUUCACCUGUGUGACCUUUAAAUAUGCAAAUGUUUCUCGUUUAAAAUUGUUCCUGUUUAUACUAGGUGCCAGGCUUAAUAUUAUAUCCAACCAUACGAUUAUCGUAUCAUACCACAUAUUUAAUCUUAAUUUUAUGAAGGGAUUGUCUUUAUGGAAAAAUGUUUGACAAAGCAUUUUCUGGUUCAAGGUGGGGGAAAAGCUAAAACACCGAUGCAACAUUUCUAUCACAAUGCUAUUAUAUACACACACACACACACACACACACACACACACACACACACACACACACACACACACAC